GAUAGUUUGGCCAAGUGGUUUAAGGUGCCAUAUUUAGGCUCUGGUCCGAAAGGGUAUGGGUUCAAAUCCCACAGUUGUCA
RNAcentral lists this transfer RNA (80 nucleotides) under Vitis vinifera (wine grape). RNAcentral describes it as "transfer RNA-Leu". It matches the Rfam family "tRNA". From Rfam's summary of the family: Transfer RNA (tRNA) molecules are approximately 80 nucleotides in length. The record is from RNAcentral. Lineage: Eukaryota; Viridiplantae; Streptophyta; Magnoliopsida; Vitales; Vitaceae.